RNAcentral lists this ribosomal RNA (496 nucleotides) under uncultured bacterium. RNAcentral's name for it is "bacterial SSU rRNA". It matches the Rfam family "Bacterial small subunit ribosomal RNA", at positions 903 to 1397 of the family's 1533-position model. The record is from RNAcentral.
AAAUGAAUUGACGGGGACCCGCACAAGCAGCGGAGCAUGUGGUUUAAUUCGAAGCAACGCGAAGAACCUUACCAGGACUUGACAUAUAGAUGAAAAAUAUAGAGAUAUAUAAUACCCUUCGGGGACAACUAUACAGGUGGUGCAUGGUUGUCGUCAGCUCGUGUCGUGAGAUGUUGGGUUAAGUCCCGCAACGAGCGCAACCCUUACCUUUAGUUACCAGCAAGUAAAGUUGGGGACUCUAGAGGGACUGCCGAUGACAAAUCGGAGGAAGGUGGGGAUGACGUCAAAUCAUCAUGCCCUAUAUGUCCUGGGCAACACACGUGCUACAAUGGUCGGAACAAAGGGAAGCGAAGUCGUGAGGCGAAGCAAAUCCCAUAAAACCGAUCUCAGUUCGGAUUGUUCUCUGCAACUCGAGAACAUGAAGUCGGAGUUGCUAGUAAUCGCAGAUCAGAAUGCUGCGGUGAAUGCGUUCCCGGGUCUUGUACACACCGCCCGU